CCCUGCCCCCAUCUAUGACAUCACACUCUACCUCAUAAAAGCUCAUUCAGCAUGGCCUGGAACAGAAAAACAGGCUGAAGUGAAGCUGUAACCACUGUAGCAGGUGAACCUUGAAUUUUUGAGCGGCUACUACUUUUAAAGCAAAUGCAGUAUGUAAUGAAGCACAUACAAUAUUUCCUUCAAUUCUCUAACAAGUAUUUCCUUCAAUUCUCUAACCUUUGUCUAUGGUCAUAUUUGUUUCAAGCCUCAUUCUUGAAUCUGUAGCAUUUUACAUUGUUUUCAAGGAAUUAAAUGGCUUCAUAUUGUUUGGUGUCAGAAAUGCUUUUCUUUACAGAAAAUUGUUCUAAUGAGAAACUUCAACAAAUUUAAUCUUCACAAAUGCCUGAAUAUUAGUCAUUUGAUAAAGCACAAGAGCACGGUCCCCAAAGCCAAAAUGCUUCUUAAUAAGGAUAAAAGUCUGACCUGUCUAAAUUUAAACCUACUGAAUGCAGACAUAUAGAUAGUGUGUGUGCUUCUUGUCUCCAUGAAUAUAUUAUAAUGAAGACAAGUGCAGUGUAAUUUUGCUUUGCAAAUUAAAUUCUAGAUAACAUCUUUCCGUUUAUGCAGGAUAUAUAAUUUCAUAUUUAUGUGUGUUUAUACAUGCAUUCAUAUAAAUUGAGGUAUUUUCAUAGCCCUAAACAUAGCCUUAUAAAAAAAAAAAUGGAGCUUCAAAAGAACUGAGAUUAUUGCACAAAAAAUAUUUUCUUGUUGGAUUUUUUAGUUGUGUCUUGAGCUUUGCUCUUCUAUUUUCCUUACAUAAACUCUGUCUGCCACGUCCACCUUCUUUGAUGGAACAAUAAUACACUAAGAAAAAUAGAUUACCCUUUCCAGAGGCUUCUGCACAGCUUUUUCUGUGGAUCACAGUUAUGAUCCCCCUGAUGCCAAAGCUCAGGGUAUGCCCUAUCAUCCAAUCCAGCACCUCUAACAAAGGCAAAACCUGUGAACUCCCUGCCACAGGAACAAGAUCCUGCAGGAUCUUUCACUUGGCUGAAUCAAAACUCUGUAAAAACAUCACUUAAAAGAGAUCUCUGGAGGAGUCUUGUAUAACUGUUAACUUGAAAUGAGCUGAUUACCAACACUAGAUCUUCUCAGCUGCUUCACUGUCUGCUCCAGGCUUGAAUCUCUCCAAGGAAGCCAACUGCACAAACCCUCUGAGCUCCUGGUCUGUGCUCCCUUUACUGGGAUGCAACAGCAAAGUCACUGAUGCCAAAAAGGACCCUUCAUAUGCUAUGCUAGAAUCAUACCAAUCUAUAGAGGAAAAAAGCAAACAAGAUCAGCUUUAUGCUUAUUUUCAGAGGUAAACCAUACUGAACUACUGAAUCUCGGACAGAGAAAAAAGAAAAAGAAGUUUCAUCAAAAGACAUACGGCACAUUAAAUGUUAUGUACACAGUAUUUCUGGAGUUGUUGCAACAUAUUUUUCUCUAACAAAACUGUAAGAACUGUGGGGUGGCUUUCAUCUGUCUUUUAGCUUUUAAUUGGUUUUAUGUCUCUUUCCUUUAUAUAUAAAUAUGCAUACACCCACACAAAGAUUCAAACAUACAUAUGCAUACAUUCAUUUCAUUUCUAAAUAUUGAUUAAUAUUCUUAAUAAUGAAAAAAAUUAAGCAGAGAUCCUAAUCCCCAUAAUAGUUCUGAAUUGCAAGUCAUCUUUUGGAUCACUGAAUUGUCUCAUGGUUCUUUGUAAACACAGUAGUAAAUUAAUAUAUUGUAAUAAUUGUCAUGGUGCUUGAUAUUUACAUCAAAACACUUCAAUAUACCACAAUUACAGAAACUUACUUCUGUACUCAUAGGUUGGGAAGCUUGAGUUCUGGAUUUCUAUAAUACUUCUAACAUUGUACUGUAUGCAAGUUGCCAAAUAAUGGUAUUUCAUUUUAGUAUAAAUAAAAUACUGUUUAUUUGUAAUUGGCUAUCCAAGAGAGAAUGAAGAAGAAGAUGGAAGCAGAAGCAGCAAGUAGACAAGCAGAUGUGGAUGUGCACUUGUAUACCAGACCUCUGGAUAGCAAAGGAGCAUACAGUACCCAGCACCCUGAAGAUCAACAGCUCAGAAAACACUGUCAGGAAAGCUCUGCACUGACUGGGGCAUGUCAGAUCACAAGAUAAUGCUCUCACAAAGGGAUGCACAGGAGCUCAACUCACUAUACCUCCUCCUGCUCAGAGCACCAGCAGAAGAAGCAAGCUGGGCAAUCUUCACAUUUUCUCUAGGUCAGUUUUACCGAGUCUUUGGAACAGACCCAAAUACUUUCUGUGGUUGAAGCUCAUUUUGCCUUUGAAACUGACUGUGAAAACCCCACCAAACAGAAACACAAUGGUGAUGGAGCCUGGGAAGCAGCGGGUGCCAACAAUGCCAGACUGGAAUGAUGAACUCAAGCAGUUUGGCCACUUAUAAUUCCACAACGGAUGGGGAUGUUCCAGGAACGAGGAGAUGCGCAAGGCUCACAAUGGCUUAUUCAGCAUCCACAAACACUGAAUAAAGAGACUCGAAAAAAGAAACACACACAACCACAAAAGCCAAGCCAGGAGAAGCACUGAUUCGGGGAGUUGUUUGAGAGAGAUGAACAUGACAAGUCGAUGGGUAUGAAAGGCUGGACCCAGAUGGCAGGAGGUAAGAAAAGAUCAUAGCAAUUACGAUGCAGAAUAGCUGUCAGUGAUACAAGGACAGAUCACGCCGCUGGUGUCAGGAAAAUGGAAGAGGAUCUUUUCAUUGCUGUGGGAAGAUCAAGGUGUUAAAAUUACAUACGUACAUACGUCAAGAAGUGAAGACCAAUUGCAGGACAGAUACAGGAACCUUUAAGCAGCUCCUUUUAGGAUUGUGUAUAUGACUUCAGAAUGCCUGAUCCAAGAAAGCCUGGCAAUGUUUAAGACCUUCUAUAGGGCUUUGCAAAAAUAAAAAAAAAUGUUAUGUGACUGAGAACACUUUCUGUGACUUCUGAUAUGUUUGAGGAAGGCCAGUGAUGCCACUGGGGAAUCUCAUGGAUGGAAUGAAGGGCACAAGUUUGUUGUCCUAAUCAUCUUCGUACUUGAUUGGGCUUAAACAAUGAAAGGGUGCUUUUUCAAAACCAUGUUUGGAAACAAUUUGUUUUCAGCAUCUUGGGUCUCACAAAUCACUAUUGUUUUGAAACCACUCAGGAGAGUGGAAUAUGUUACAAAUUUACAUACAUAUGGUCUGUACUUGAGUUAGAGGAUAACAAAAGUGUCAUGGGGCUAAACUAGUGUCAAAGAAAAAAAAAUCACAAAGAACAGUCAUUAGUUCUUUGUGAUUCUAGCAUACUCCCAGAGGCUCAAAGGCCAACAAAGGAGAAGGAAAAAAAAUACAUUUAAAAAAUGUAAAAAAACUCACUGUUUACAAUAUUAAUGCUGCCUGUCUUUAUUUCUACAAAAGGUUGUGUGUAAGAAGUUUGUAGUGUUCAUUGAACAUAACUGAAAUAACUGUGUGGUAUUAGAGUAUAUAAUCACUGUGUUUGCAAUAGUACUUGAAAACAGCAUAUGCAUUAGAAUUUAAAGUAUUUUGCUGGCCUUCCAGUCUUUUGCUAAACCUAGUGUGCAUUGGAACCUGAGUGAAUGAAUCCCAUUAGUCAUCACCAUCUUAACAAUAUGCACUUCAUAGAGAGUUGGCUUCUGCACAGAGGAAGGAAAUUACCAGUAGUAACAAAGGAAAGAAAAUUUAUAAUGAGCAAAUAUACAAAAGCUCCAAAUAAUUACAAUAUUUACAGCUUGGCAAUGACUUUCUAGGCUAUGAAAUUACUUUUCUUUUGGAAGAAUGAAGAUUCUGCAAGGUUAGUAUAAACAAAGGGUACUUGGAGAAUCAAAUUGCUCUACAUAAGUUAUUGUAAGGCCUGGAAUAAUGGUGAUAGAAUUAAAAAACAAAAACAAAACCAAAAAAACUUGCUUAUGAAUCAGUGGAUUUUUGUUUUGCACAUUAUUGCAAUCAAAAAUUCUCCCUUUUAAGUGCUACAUGGGAAACAAAU
Molecule: long non-coding RNA, 4004 nt
Organism: Passer domesticus (house sparrow)
Lineage: Eukaryota; Metazoa; Chordata; Aves; Passeriformes; Passeridae
Exons: 3
Source: RefSeq, a predicted model, not a curated record